This is a transfer RNA of Felis catus (domestic cat), 73 nucleotides long. It matches the Rfam family "tRNA". Rfam says of the family: Transfer RNA (tRNA) molecules are approximately 80 nucleotides in length. Their secondary structure includes four short double-helical elements and three loops (D, anti-codon, and T loops). Further hydrogen bonds mediate the characteristic L-shaped molecular structure. tRNAs have two regions of fundamental functional importance: the anti-codon, which is responsible for specific mRNA codon recognition, and the 3' end, to which the tRNAs corresponding amino acid is attached (by aminoacyl-tRNA synthetases). tRNAs cope with the degeneracy of the genetic code in two manners: having more than one tRNA (with a specific anti-codon) for a particular amino acid; and 'wobble' base-pairing, i.e. permitting non-standard base-pairing at the 3rd anti-codon position. Lineage: Eukaryota; Metazoa; Chordata; Mammalia; Carnivora; Felidae. The record is from Rfam.
ACCUGGCUGGCUCAGUCGUUAGAGCAUGUGACUCUUGAUCUCAGGGUUGUGAGUUCAUGUCCCACACUGGGUG